AUUGAACGCUGGCGGCAGGCCUAACACAUGCAAGUCGAGCGGAAACGAGUUAUCUGAACCUUCGGGGAACGAUAACGGCGUCGAGCGGCGGACGGGUGAGUAAUGCCUAGGAAAUUGCCCUGGUGUGGGGGAUAACCAAUUGGAAAACGAUGGCUAAUACCGCAUAAUACCUUCGGGUCAAAAGAGGGGGGACCUUCGGGCCUCUCGCGUCAGGAUAUGCCUAGGUGGGAUUAGCUAGUUGGUGAGGUAAUGGCUCACCAAGGCGACGAUCCCUAGCUGGUCUGAGAGGAUGAUCAGCCACACUGGAACUGAGACACGGUCCAGACUCCUACGGGAGGCAGCAGUGGGGAAUAUUGCGACAAAUGGGCGCAAGCCUGAUGCAGCCAU
Molecule: ribosomal RNA, 387 nt
Filed under: uncultured bacterium
Lineage: Bacteria
Description: bacterial SSU rRNA
Rfam family: Bacterial small subunit ribosomal RNA
Source: RNAcentral